GGAUAACCUGCCCUAUUGUCUGGAAUAACCUCGGGAAACUGAGAACAAGGCCGGAUAACCCACAAUGCCUGGAACGGUUUGUGGGUGAAGAUAGGAUGGGUCUGCGGCGUAUCAGGUCGUAGGGGGUGUAAUGGACCUCCUAGCCAUCGACGCGUACGGGUGUUGGGAGACAUAGCCCGGAGAUGGAUUCUGAGACACGAAUCCAGACCCUACGGGGUGCAGCAGGCGCGAAAACUUCACACUGCAGGAAACUGUGAUGAGGGAACUCCAAGUGCAUCCACUAUGUGGAUGCUUUUUUUGACUAUUAAUCGGUCAACGAAUAAGGGCUGGGAAAGACCGGUGCCAGCCGCCGCGGUAAUACCGGCAGCUCAAGUGGUCGUCGCUUUUAUUGGGCCUAAAACGUCCGUAGCCUGUUUGGUAAAUCUGUGGGUAAAUCAACCAGCUUAACUGGUUGAAUUCUGCAGAGACUGCCAGACUAGGGACCGGGAGAGGUGUGGGGUACUCUAGGGGUAGGGGUAAAAUCCCGUCAUCCUUAGAGGACCACCAGUUGCGAAGGCGCCACACUGGAACGGAUCCGACGGUCAGGGACGAAGCCUAGGGGCACGAACCGGAUUAGAUACCCGGGUAGUCCUAGGUGUAAACGCUGUGAACUUGGUGUCGGGGAUCCGCAAUGGGUCCUCGGUGCCGGAGUGAAGAUGUUAAGUUCACUGCCUGGNGAGUACGGUCGCAAGGCUGAAACUU
This 741-nucleotide ribosomal RNA is filed under the name uncultured Candidatus Poseidoniales archaeon. RNAcentral describes it as "bacterial SSU rRNA". It matches the Rfam family "Archaeal small subunit ribosomal RNA", at positions 102 to 857 of the family's 1478-position model. Lineage: Archaea; Methanobacteriati; Thermoplasmatota; Candidatus Poseidoniia; Candidatus Poseidoniales. The record is from RNAcentral.